This 380-nucleotide unclassified non-coding RNA is filed under the name uncultured bacterium. RNAcentral's name for it is "contains 16S-23S intergenic spacer region". The record is from RNAcentral.
UCCGGUUUGGCACCGGCAGUCCCCCCAGAGUCCUCAGCCUAACCCGUUAGCAACUGGGGGCGGGGGUUGCGCUCGUUGCGGGACUUAACCCAACACCUCACGGCACGAGCUGACGACAGCCGUGCAGCACCUGUGCUCGCUCCCUCGCGGGUCAGCCGACUUUCGCCGGCUUACCACGAGCAUGUCAAGCCCGGGUAAGGUUCUGCGCGUUGCAUCGAAUUAAACCACACGCUCCGCUGCUUGUGCGGGCCCCCGUCAAUUCCUUUGAGUUUUAGCCUUGCGGCCGUACUCCCCAGGCGGGGCACUUAGUGCGUUAGCUUCGGCACGGACGGAGUCGACACCGCCCACACCUAGUGUCCAUCGUUUACGGCUAGGACUAC